AAAACAUCUCCAGUGAUGACCUUGUCACUCGUAGAUCCAACCGAGUGCUAGGCUAUCACAGGAAUAGUGCUGGCUUAUUUAUCCAGAUUGUUUAGAUCAGAGAUCGAGAAGCACCGGUGUGGCUUAUAAUUCGAUGCAACAGUCUAAAAUCGACACAGAGAUAAACCCUCCAGGACUCAGCGCGAGAGAGUGGAGAAGAUCUCUGUUGUGGCGUGCCCGCGCAGUGAGCGCUCUCCGGCCGAUACUUAAAUUAUGAGAACUUCAACAAUAAUGUACCUUCAAGUCCGUAAGUCGUAACUACAUUUGACAACGUGAAUAAAUGAAAAACAUUUGUAACAAGUUUUUAUAAAAUUAUUUAUUAAUCUGAGUUUGGACAUAAACAUUCGAUGACGGCGUCCUUCUUCGCUGCCACGUACUGUUAUUGACAAUGUCGGUAGGUCGUCGCCGUUGGCCUACUGACGAACUGAAGCCAACGUGUAUAGCCCAGUCCCUGACCGCGGUCGGGGGCCAGUUGUGGUAUUGCCGUCCUCAGGUUUGUGAGACUUCUAACUUGAUUUUUAAACUUAUAAAAUAUAACGAAAGUAGUCUUAAAUUUUCAUAAAGUUUCUUAACCUAAUCAUACAUUAUGAGAAUUAUACAUAUUACAGAGAUAACUUAACCAUAAGUAUACAUAAGAGAUGUGAAUGUUGCAGCUCCGCGGGAGGGAGGGGGGGGUUUACACGAGGGGGUAGGAGGCGGAGGAGGCGAUGCCGCAGCGGUUGUUCUUGUUCCGGAUCAUCUUGAUGUAGCCCAGCUCGCCCCACGAGCGGCCCCACGAGUUCUUCACGAGCCAGUAGUCCACGCCCUGCUCGUCGGUGCCGUAACCCACCACCAGAACC
Molecule: long non-coding RNA, 878 nt
Organism: Bombyx mori (domestic silkworm)
Lineage: Eukaryota; Metazoa; Arthropoda; Insecta; Lepidoptera; Bombycidae
Exons: 2
Source: RefSeq, a predicted model, not a curated record